AUGGACCUCGGGCAUCACUCCAUCCAGCUCAGUGCGGGUCCUGGCUCGCCGGCUGGCGCGAUGCCGGUGACGCCGCAGCCGGGCGAUGGCGGCACGAUGAGCCCCGAGCUGUACCUUGCCCUGUGCCGGGGGAGAAAGAAGGAAGCCAUGGCGCUGCUUCGGCAACAGCACGGUGGCGCCGCCGCCGCCGCUAAUCAGGUUGCCGGCAUACACCAGGUCAACGCGGAGGGGAACAGCUCCUUCAUCUGGCCGCGGAGCAUGGGCACGACAAGCUCAUCCAUGAUCUCGCAAGCUUCGGGGACAGGAGCUUGCUCUCUUCCCGAAACUCGACUCUGGACACACCUCUGCACUGCGCGGCGAGGGCGGGGCAUGGCAAGGCCGUGUCCCUCCUCGUCCGGCUCUCAUGCGAGGGCGGAGACGACAGCACCUUGUGGUGCAAGAACGAGGCUGGGAACACGGCCCUUCAUCUGGCGGCGAGGCUCGGCCAUGGCGCAGCAGUCGAGGCUAUGGUCUCCGCAGCGCCGGGGCUAG
Molecule: ribosomal RNA, 531 nt
Filed under: Triticum aestivum (bread wheat)
Lineage: Eukaryota; Viridiplantae; Streptophyta; Magnoliopsida; Poales; Poaceae
Description: partial small subunit ribosomal RNA
Source: RNAcentral